UCGCUGGCAGUCCAAUGGUUAGGACUUGGCACUUUCACUGCCAAGGUCCCAGGUUCAAUCCCUGGUCAAGGAA
Molecule: transfer RNA, 73 nt
Organism: Ovis aries (sheep)
Lineage: Eukaryota; Metazoa; Chordata; Mammalia; Artiodactyla; Bovidae
Rfam family: tRNA
About the family: Transfer RNA (tRNA) molecules are approximately 80 nucleotides in length. Their secondary structure includes four short double-helical elements and three loops (D, anti-codon, and T loops).
Source: Rfam